Long non-coding RNA from Acyrthosiphon pisum (pea aphid), 2280 nucleotides. RefSeq lists it as uncharacterized. The record is from RefSeq and is a predicted model, not a curated record. NCBI's taxonomy places the organism in Eukaryota, Metazoa, Arthropoda, Insecta, Hemiptera, Aphididae. The transcript is spliced from 3 exons.
GGUUCAGGGGAGACAUAUUUUUUUCUCCUGUUCAGUCGCCGCCGCGGACAAUUUAUAAUAUCGAUAUUAUUUGUAAACCGUAAUGAUAAUAUUUUUAAUAUUUUUGCCGGUCAAAAACUCGAAAUCUGUUGAACCAGUACACCAUUACUCGUACGUCAUAGUACAGUAAGUUAAUACAUUUAAAUACUUUACAUAAUCUAUACUUAUAUGGUAGGCGACUACCGCAUUACCACGACGUGUAGGCGCGUGCGCCCGAAGCGACGUAACACAUACAAUAUGUAUGUUAUUAUAGUUGGCCCAUCGUUCUCUUCGUGCAAUGUUACGGAUUUUCAUCCUCGACGGCCCGAGCGAUAUAACUUAUAACAUAAUAAUACUUUGUCCCAAAUCCCGCAGACCAAAUAUUUGAAUAAUUUAUAUCGGCUCGACGGCAACAACAAUCAACCUAAAUAAAUAAAAAUCAGUGGAAUCUCUGCCGCUCAAUCAUUACGAUAGCCGGCACGGCACAUUGGCAUCGUCGCGACGCAAACCGUAUAGUCAGUAGGACAAUUCGAUGGACCACAGCAAAAACGUAUUGAAUAAGAAAUACUCAAUACCGACUCAAUAUCAUAUUAUUAUUAAAACACGUCAUGUCGGUGAUUUGAUCUGAUUUGAAAGAAGGCGUUUUUUUACAAGACACGUCCAAAUUCACACCGCCUGCGGUCAUCCCUCAAACGACGCGGCCGAUGGACUGCAGUGAACCUAUAGCCGCCGUAAUAAUAACAUCGGUAAGACCUGGUUAACACCACACCGGUGCCGCGUUCCUUUUAACACGGGUAAUAAAAUGUCGGUAACGCGUCAACUACGUCAAGUCGACGAUAUUACACAUUCAAGUUGAAAUGAUUCAACUCUAUAUACGACACGGAUUACGUCGUGCCCGGCCCAUGUCUCAUUCGGCCGCUACAAUCCGGCGCGUGGCGGCCCCAAGUUCACUGCUGCUACGUGUGACACCGUGCCGUGCGUGCGCGUGCGUUUUUGCCAGAGUAAAUGCGCACCGUAUGAAUUCCGAGUAACGUGUGUCGCGUGAUGGUUUUCCUCGAUGACGUCCGCUCGCCGAUAAUAUUAUUAUAAUAAUAAUAUUACGUUAUUACACGAUAACAUUCACGCAAACGAAUAUUGUGCGUAAUUAAAACCAAUAAUUAUUACGUCGCCGUCGACGGUCAUUCGGGUACACGACGUUUAUAAUUGAUAUUAUGUAAAUCGUCUUUAUUAUAAUAUAAGAGUAUAGUAAUAAUAAUAAUUUAAAAAAAAGAAAAAAACCAAGUACAAUUGAACGUCGGGACAUCAUAAUAUAUAGGCAUCAUAUAUUAUACUAUAAUACUGCAGUGUGAUAUAUAUGUAUAUGACGAAUUUAAUUAAUUUUUUCUUCGUAAUGUAUGUACGAUGUAUAUUAUAAUAAUACGACUCUUUGCAUAUUUUUUUUUCUUGACAUACAUAUAUUCAUUAUUAUAAUACUAUUAUAUUUAUCACGAUUGUGGUGAAUUCGUUAAAACCCCUAGUUUUUUUGCACGCCGAGUACAACUUCGUUGUUUGUACUUGCAUAUCGUAUAUUUUGAGCUUCAGUGGUGAUUAUUUCGAAAUGUUAAUAAUAUUAACAUACCUACAUAAUAUUGUACAUACAUUUAUAACCUAUAUCUACUCCAACGGUGUCGAUUUACUUGAAAUUCAAUUCCACCAAUUGACAAACACCGUGUUCAACGAGUUGGUCCACAUAGCUGGUGCGUUGUAGUUAUGCAUUUAUAUACGUGUGAAAUUAUAACCAUAUUAUAUUUUAUAUUUGAUAUGCAUCGUUAUAAUACGGUCCGACUGUCCGGGUAUCGUUAAAACGCCGAUAAAACAUUUUUCUAGAACAUUAUAAUGUAGGUACUCCAUGUAGAUACUGCAGAGAUAGAUAUUAUUAUACUCUUCUCGGACAUAGGUGGCGGUAAAGUAAAAUAAAAAAUACAAUUUAUCGCAUUCGUGUAAUUGCGAGUUGCAGGCUUACGAUAAAAAUCGAGAUGUUCGUUUAAUAAUACAAAUGGGCAAUGGUAUAGUAUUAUUCUAGAAUUGUAAUAAUAAUAAUAAAUAUUAUCAUAGAAAUAAACUUGCACAGUUGUAUACUUUACAAUGAUAAUAAUUAAAUAUGUAAUUUAGGUCAUUUGUGAGUAAACAAAAACACAAAUUUAGUUCUUUAAAUUAUCGUACCUAGUUAAAUUAGGUAUCCUCAAAAAGAAACGCGUAGAACUUAAUUAUUAUUUGUGUAGG